Molecule: ribosomal RNA, 497 nt
Filed under: uncultured bacterium
Lineage: Bacteria
Description: partial 16S ribosomal RNA
Rfam family: Bacterial small subunit ribosomal RNA
Source: RNAcentral
GAUGAACGCUGGCGGCGUGCCUAAUACAUGCAAGUCGAGCGAACAGACGAGGAGCUUGCUCCUCUGACGUUAGCGACGGACGGGUGAGUAACACGUGGAUAACCUACCUAUAAUACUGGGAUAACUUCGUGAAACCGGAGCUAAUACCGGAUAAUAUAUUGAACCGCAUGGUUCAAUAGUGAAAGACGGUUUUGCUGUCACUUAUAGAUGGAUCCGCGCCGCAUUAGCUAGUUGGUAAGGUAACGGCUUACCAAGGCAACGAUGCGUAGCCGACCUGAGAGGGUGAUCGGCCACACUGGAACUGGGACACGGUCCAGACUCCUACGGGGGGCAGCAGUAGGGAAUCUUCCGAAAUGGGCGAAAGCCUGACGGAGCAACGCCGCGUGGGUGAUGAAGGUCUUAGGAUCGUAAAAAUCUGUUAUUAGGGAAGAAAAACUGUGUAAGUAACUAUGCACGUAUUGACGGUACCUGAUCAGACAGCCACGGCUAACUCCGUG